This 422-nucleotide long non-coding RNA is filed under the name Androctonus crassicauda. Lineage: Eukaryota; Metazoa; Arthropoda; Arachnida; Scorpiones; Buthidae. The record is from RNAcentral.
AUAUAUAAGUAAAAGAAUUUGAACCAACUUUUAGGUUAAUCAUACGAAAACUCAGAAAUUCAAAAUCAUCUUAUUUGAUAUCCAAACAUAAUAGGCAUGUAUACAAAAAAAGACAUUGCUAUAUAAAUAAACGAAAAGUUAUGAAGACUUGUAACGUCUGGCAGUUGCAUUUCCGGAACACAACUGAUAAAGAACUUGCCUGGAAACGAAGCAUAGCAAAUCAUGAAUACGAUUCUAUUCGUUGGAGAAGUGGUAACUUCAAUAUUCAGUUUAUCGUUACGUUGCCAACAACAUCGCAUUCUGUGACUAUAACAGCGAAAUGCGUGACAUUGAAUAGAUUCUAUAUUAUUCAGAUAAUGGCAUCUUUGUGAGUAGUGAGAGUAAAGAAUUAUCUCAUUGUAUAGGGAAUUUGAAUAUUUUGA